GUGGCUGUGGCUCAGUGGUAGAGUGCUCUACUCACAUGUGGAGGGCACUGGGUUCAAUCCUCAGCAUCACA
Molecule: transfer RNA, 71 nt
Filed under: Marmota monax (woodchuck)
Lineage: Eukaryota; Metazoa; Chordata; Mammalia; Rodentia; Sciuridae
Description: tRNA.Val
Source: RNAcentral